RNAcentral lists this non-coding RNA (101 nucleotides) under Xanthomonas albilineans. RNAcentral describes it as "SAH sequence". It matches the Rfam family "SAH (S-adenosyl-L-homocysteine) riboswitch aptamer". The record is from RNAcentral. RNAcentral also lists the same sequence under 1 other name. Lineage: Bacteria; Pseudomonadati; Pseudomonadota; Gammaproteobacteria; Lysobacterales; Lysobacteraceae.
UUCGUCGAGGGGCGCUGCGACCGUGUCGAGACCGGGACUCCCGUGCUGCAGACCCGGCCAGGCUCGGCGGACGGCAUCAGCGACAACGGCGCCCGGACUUC